GACGAACGCUGGCGGCGUGCUUAACACAUGCAAGUCGAACGGAAAGGCCCUGCUUUUGUGGGGUGCUCGAGUGGCGAACGGGUGAGUAACACGUGAGUAACCUGCCCUUGACUUUGGGAUAACUUCAGGAAACUGGGGCUAAUACCGGAUAGGAGCUCCUGCUGCAUGGUGGGGGUUGGAAAGUUUCGGCGGUUGGGGAUGGACUCGCGGCUUAUCAGCUUGUUGGUGGGGUAGUGGCUUACCAAGGCUUUGACGGGUAGCCGGCCUGAGAGGGUGACCGGCCAAAUUGGGACUGAGAUACGGCCCAGACUCCUACGGGACGCAGGAGUGGAGAAUAUUGCACAAUGGGAGGAAGCCUGAUGCAGCAACGCCACGUGCGGGAUGACGGCCUUCGGGUUGUAAACCGCUUUCGCCUGUGACGAAGCGUGAGUGACGGUAAUGGGUAAAGAAGCACCGGCUAACUACGUG
Molecule: ribosomal RNA, 468 nt
Filed under: uncultured bacterium
Lineage: Bacteria
Description: partial 16S ribosomal RNA
Rfam family: Bacterial small subunit ribosomal RNA
Source: RNAcentral